This 253-nucleotide ribosomal RNA is filed under the name uncultured bacterium. RNAcentral's name for it is "partial 16S ribosomal RNA". It matches the Rfam family "Bacterial small subunit ribosomal RNA", at positions 524 to 776 of the family's 1533-position model. The record is from RNAcentral.
UACGGGGGGGGCAAGCGUUGUUCGGAAUUACUGGGCGUAAAGGGCUUGUAGGCGGCCAACUAAGUCAGACGUGAAAUCCCUCGGCUUAACCGGGGAACUGCGUCUGAUACUGGAUGGCUUGAGUUCGGGAGAGGGAUGCGGAAUUCCAGGUGUAGCGGUGAAAUGCGUAGAUAUCUGGAGGAACACCGGUGGCGAAGGCGGCAUCCUGGACCGACACUGACGUUGAUGAGCGAAAGCCAGGGGAGCAAACGGG